RNAcentral lists this non-coding RNA (31 nucleotides) under Mus musculus (house mouse). The record is from RNAcentral. Lineage: Eukaryota; Metazoa; Chordata; Mammalia; Rodentia; Muridae.
UGUGAACACAGUUGUGUAUUGUUGCCCUGUC